RNAcentral lists this long non-coding RNA (374 nucleotides) under Mytilus galloprovincialis (Mediterranean mussel). Lineage: Eukaryota; Metazoa; Mollusca; Bivalvia; Mytilida; Mytilidae. The record is from RNAcentral.
GUCGCCUUUCUUGUUCUCAUAGAAUCAUAUGAUAUGAGCUCCAUGUUUUGUGAACGUCUUUCUUAACUGUCGUAUUAGACUGACCAGUGCAUAUCGCGCAUGGCACUUUAAAUGUAUUUUAAGCGCGAAAAUUAACUUACAUUUAGCUGGAUUUAUUGCCGUCGUAGUUCCAUCUUGUCGCCUUCGUACUUUUAUUCGAUGGCAACACGACGGGAUUACGAGGUCUUCACGAAGUCGUGUUGCCAUCGUAAGACCUUCGGGUAGCUUCGUGAUUCAUUCGUGUAGACAUCGUAAUGUCAAAACUGCCCGAUGGAAACGAUGGAAACACGAAUGCAAUACGAUGUUCAAAGAUGCAUUCCCGGUGACAUUACGAU